UUACAUCCGGGGCUGCACACGUGCUACAAUGGCCGGCACAAAGGGAAGCCAAGCCGCGAGGCCGAGCCAAUCCCCAAAACCGGCCCCAGUUCAGAUCGGGGUCUGCAACCCGACCCCGUGAAGUCGGAUUUGCUAGUAACGGCGCAUCAGCUACGGCGCCGUGAAUACGUUCCCGGGCCUU
This 181-nucleotide ribosomal RNA is filed under the name uncultured Sulfurospirillum sp. RNAcentral describes it as "partial 16S ribosomal RNA". It matches the Rfam family "Bacterial small subunit ribosomal RNA", at positions 1202 to 1382 of the family's 1533-position model. The record is from RNAcentral. Lineage: Bacteria; Pseudomonadati; Campylobacterota; Epsilonproteobacteria; Campylobacterales; Sulfurospirillaceae.